GAAAUGCGAUAAGUGAUGUGAAUUGCAGAAUUCAGUGAAUCAUCGAAUCUUUGAACGCACCUUGCGCUCCUUGGUAUUCCUUGGAGCAUGCCUGUUUGAGUAUCAUGAAAUCUUCAAAGUAAAUCUUUUGUUAACUCAAUUGGCUUCUACUUUGGUAUUGGAGGUCUUUGCAGCUUCACACCUGCUCCUCUUUGUUCAUUAGCUGGAUCUCAGUGUUAUGCUUGGUUCCACUCGGCGUGAUAAGUUAUCUAUCGCUGAGGACACUGUAAAAGGUGGCCAAGGUAAAUGCAGAUGAACCGCUUCUAAUAGUCCAUUGACUUGGACAAUACUUUUAUGAUCUGAUCUCAAAUCAGGUAGGACUACCCGCUGAACUUAAGC
Molecule: unclassified non-coding RNA, 378 nt
Filed under: plant metagenome
Description: partial contains 5.8S ribosomal RNA, internal transcribed spacer 2, and large subunit ribosomal RNA
Rfam family: 5.8S ribosomal RNA (bases 1-105)
Source: RNAcentral